RNAcentral lists this long non-coding RNA (887 nucleotides) under Nicotiana benthamiana. Its description in RNAcentral is "long non-coding RNA (NBEN_LNC017769)". Lineage: Eukaryota; Viridiplantae; Streptophyta; Magnoliopsida; Solanales; Solanaceae. The record is from RNAcentral.
CUAAACUAAGCCCCCUCUUGCUUACACCAUAAUGGUGGCUCCAGGGUUGUGAAAAGCGACCGCUUCAUCGCAUAAAGCGAGAAGCGACGCGACGCGGCAGACCAUCGAUUUUUUCUCCUUCAGGCGACGCGAACAAAAGAAGCGAGCGCUUACCUGGGAAAAGCGACGCGAGUGGAAAAGCGAAAAGCGACAGAAGCGAUCGAUUUGUUGAAAAAUCGAUCACCCAGUAUAAAAAAACCAUUGUACAGCCUCAACCAGUUGCGGAAAUCAAAAAAAGAGCUCGACCAACUACCCCUCUUCUUCUCCAGUGACGGAAAUUAGCGUUUCCAUCGGUGAAGACCACCGGCGACCGGCGACCGACGAUAAAACCCAGGUAUGUUUUCUUCUCCUUUCUUCUUGUUUUUUCUUUCUCCUUCAUCUUCUUCUUCCAUCUUCUUUUUCUUUCUCUCUGAAGACGACCUGCGUCGUUUUUUCUUUUUUUUUUCAUCUCCGAUCAUCAUCGAUGUCGGCUUCUCUGUCGCUGUUUCACUGUUUCUUUUUCAUUUGUUUUUAGCCCAGCCCUUUUCAAUUUUUUUUUAAAAUUACUGUAGCACAUAUAUACAUAUAUAUAUAUAUUAAAUUAUUGUAUUAUUAUUUUUAAUUUCAGUUUAAUAUCAGGAUUAUUAUUUUUAAUUUCAGUUUAAUUUCAGUUUAAUUUCAGUGUAUUUUCAGUUUAUUUUCAGUUUAAUAAUUAUUGUUUCGGUUAUAUUUUAAUAGGGAUAAUUAAAUGUCUCAAAGUUCGAAAGAUAAAGACCCGGCUUGGCGAUAUGGCCAAAGAGUUGAUGGGAAGAGUACUAAUGUUGUAUGCAUAUUUUGCAACAAGGUUACAACGGGUGGAAUUUAUCGCU